UAACGCAAAACUCAAAAUCUUUCAACACCUGUACACCAUUUUGCUUCUCCCGUUCACAAACUGAAUUCAGGUACAGCUGAUUGUAGACAAGCCUGGUGUGUGGAUAACUGAGGAACCUUUGCAAUGGCUAACUGGCUGCCAGGGGUUGGAAGAGUUCACUGAACCUUCAAAGUGCACAGCUGUUAUCUUUGACUAGUGGCCAAAAACAAAAUUAUAGCUUUGGUAAGAGGUCUCCAUGGAUCAUGCUUGUUUGUCCAGCACAUCCCACAGAUGCCUGGUUGGAUUGAGAUCUGGGGAAUAUGGAGGCCAACUCAACACCUCAAAUUCACUGCUUUUCUCCUCAAAUUAUUCCUGAACCAUUUGAUAAAAUCUUAUUUUUAGACUGAAAUACCGCAAAGGAUUCUGGGAAGUAGCUAGCCGGUCGUCACGGCAAAGCUACGAGAGCGUCUCUCAGCAUGGGCCCAAAAAAAGUUCUGUCAGCCGAGGAAGGAGACGAUAUUAAGAAGUCGCUGGAGUUUAUGACAGAGGAGAUUUCUACUGUCAAACUGCAGCAGAAAGCCAUCCUGGACCUGGUCGAGGAAGUUAAGGCUCUCCGCAUCCAGAACGCCGAGAAGGAUCGGCGGCUGGCGUACCUGGAGAACAGAGUGGCGGAUUUGGAGCAGUACACCCGGAUGAACGAUGUUAUCAUCACGGGGCUUCGCAUCAAACCCCGGUCAUACGCCCGGGCGGUCGCCACUGACAAUGUAGGAGGGCCAGGAGAGGAAGAUGUCAACUCCACGGAGCAUCAAGUGGUUACCUUUCUACGGUCCAAAGGUGUGGAAGUGGAUUAUAACAACAUUGAGGCUUGCCACCCUCUACCCCGAAAAAAUGACAGUAACAAACCAGCCAUCAUUGUGAGAUUUGCAAACAGAAAACAGAAAACAGCACUGUUAAAACAAGGAAGGAAACUGAAAGGAUCUGAUGUCUUCAUGAACGAACAUCUGAUAAAAAGAAAUGCGGACAUUGCCAGGAAAGCACGUUACUUGAAGAAACAGGGAAAAAUUCAAAAUACAUGGACCACCAACUGCAAAGUAUUCAUUAAACUCAAUGGAACACCGGAACAAGCCAAAGUGUUGGUCAUCAGAAAUAUGGAAGAGCUGGACAAAUACUGAGGUCAACUUACUCUGGAGGUAUGAAUACACAUGUGACGUGACACACAACACAACACAUGGCACAGUCCAAAAGAACUUCAUCUGCAUCCGGCAACAAUAUCAACAUGACUCAUUGGAAUUCUCUUUAUGAUAAUCUGGAACUGAGAACAUUUCGAUACACAGACCAUAAUGUUCUAGACUUAGAAAAGGAUAUAGACCCGGAAAAUAAUUUCUUCUACAACAUCAGCUGUAACUGCUGCUACUUCACUGAUGAACAGUUUAAGCACACCAUCAACACAGAAAAUAAAUUAUCAAUAAUCCAUUUUAAUAGCAGAAGUCUGUAUGCCAACUUCAACAAUAUAAAGGAAUAUCUAAAUGAGUUGACAAAUCCAUUUGGAAUUAUUGCCAUUUCUGAAACAUGGAUCAAUGCGGAGAAAGGAAUGGACUUUGGACUGGAGGGAUAUGAAGUGAAUUUUGUAAAUAGAAGGAACAAGAGUGGAGGGGGAGUAGCUGUGUAUGUGGAUAAAAACCUAAACUACAAGGUGGUAGAAAGUAUGACAACUGUAAUUGAUAAUUUACUAGAAUGUAUAACAAUUGAAAUUUAUAAGGAAAAAGAAAAAAAUGUAAUAAUUAGCUGUAUAUAUAGAACACCUGGCUCUAGUAUUCAAGUAUUUAAUGACUUCAUAGAGGAAAUAUUCUCUAAAACAAAUCAAAAAGUUAUGUUUAUCUGUGGUGAUUUUAAUAUUGACCUGUUGAAUCCAAAAAAGCAUAAAAUGACCGACGAAUUCCUAAACACUAUGUACAGUUUGAGUUUACAUCCUAAAAUAACCGGGCCUAGCAGAAUUACACCACAUUGUGCCACCUUACUUGACAAUAUUUUCACUAACAAUAUGGAAAACAACAUUGUGAGCGGAAUAUUAAUUAAUGACAUCAGUGAUCACCUACCAGUUUUUGCAGUUUAUGACACUAAUUAUAAGAAAAAUCAGCAUGAAGAACAACUGAGAUACAGACGUGUAAGGACAGAAGAAACUAUGACUGCAUUUAAGAACGAUCUAUUAAAUCAGGACUGGGACAAGGUGUACAAAGAAGCUGAUAUUGAUAUUGCAUAUGGCAUAUUUUUAAGAAUAUUCAUGGAGUUGUACGAUAAAAACUGUCCAACAAUAAAAUACAACAGAAAGCACAAAUAUUCAGAUAGACCAUGGCUCACUAAGGGUUUACAAAAUGCAUGUAAAAAGAAAAAUACAC
Long non-coding RNA from Astatotilapia calliptera (eastern happy), 2375 nucleotides. The record is from Ensembl. NCBI's taxonomy places the organism in Eukaryota, Metazoa, Chordata, Actinopteri, Cichliformes, Cichlidae.